RNAcentral lists this ribosomal RNA (253 nucleotides) under uncultured bacterium. RNAcentral describes it as "partial 16S ribosomal RNA". It matches the Rfam family "Bacterial small subunit ribosomal RNA", at positions 524 to 776 of the family's 1533-position model. The record is from RNAcentral.
UACGGAGGGGGCAAGCGUUAUCCGGAUUCACUGGGCUUAAAGGGCGCGUAGGUGGGCCGGUAAGUCAGUGGUGAAAUCUUUGGGCUUAACCCGAAAACUGCCAUUGAUACUAUUUGUCUUGAAUAUUGUGGAGGUCAGCGGAAUAUGUCAUGUAGCGGUGAAAUGCUUAGAUAUGACAUAGAACACCAAUUGCGAAGGCAGCUGGCUACACAUAUAUUGACACUGAGGCGCGAAAGCUAGGGGAGCAAACAGG